RNAcentral lists this ribosomal RNA (727 nucleotides) under uncultured Bacteroidales bacterium. RNAcentral describes it as "bacterial SSU rRNA". It matches the Rfam family "Bacterial small subunit ribosomal RNA", at positions 28 to 744 of the family's 1533-position model. The record is from RNAcentral. Lineage: Bacteria; Pseudomonadati; Bacteroidota; Bacteroidia; Bacteroidales.
GAUGAACGCUAGCUACAGGCUUAACACAUGCAAGUCGAGGGGCAGCAUGGUCUUAGCUUGCUAAGGCCGAUGGCGACCGGCGCACGGGUGAGUAACACGUAUCCAACCUGCCGUCUACUCUUGGACAGCCUUCUGAAAGGAAGAUUAAUACAAGAUGGCAUCAUGAGUCCGCAUGUUCACAUGAUUAAAGGUAUUCCGGUAGACGAUGGGGAUGCGUUCCAUUAGAUAGUAGGCGGGGUAACGGCCCACCUAGUCUUCGAUGGAUAGGGGUUCUGAGAGGAAGGUCCCCCACAUUGGAACUGAGACACGGUCCAAACUCNUACGGGAGGCAGCAGUGAGGAAUAUUGGUCAAUGGGCGAGAGCCUGAACCAGCCAAGUAGCGUGAAGGAUGACUGCCCUAUGGGUUGUAAACUUCUUUUAUAAAGGAAUAAAGUCGGGUAUGGAUACCCGUUUGCAUGUACUUUAUGAAUAAGGAUCGGCUAACUCCGUGCCAGCAGCCGCGGUAAUACGGAGGAUCCGAGCGUUAUCCGGAUUUAUUGGGUUUAAAGGGAGCGUAGAUGGAUGUUUAAGUCAGUUGUGAAAGUUUGCGGCUCAACCGUAAAAUUGCAGUUGAUACUGGAUAUCUUGAGUGCAGUUGAGGCAGGCGGAAUUCGUGGUGUAGCGGUGAAAUGCUUAGAUAUCACGAAGAACUCCGAUUGCGAAGGCAGCCUGCUAAGCUGCAACUGAC